Mytilus californianus (California mussel) is the source of this 1968-nucleotide long non-coding RNA. RefSeq lists it as uncharacterized. NCBI's taxonomy places the organism in Eukaryota, Metazoa, Mollusca, Bivalvia, Mytilida, Mytilidae. The transcript has 4 exons. The record is from RefSeq and is a predicted model, not a curated record.
CCCCCCCCAUUUAAGAAAGUUCUAAUAUCUUCUAAGUGGUAAAGAUCCCCACCCCUAAACCAUAUAUAUUCUGGUUUGUCAUGCGAAGAUGGUUUGAAUGAUAUACAGGGUUAGUCCCCAGGGGUCAUCCCGACCCCCUGCCAUUUGAGAAAGUUCUAAUAUCUUGUAAAUUGUUGAGAUCCCCACCCCUAAACCAUAUAUAUUCCUAUUUGUGAUGUCUCGAACAUUUGAAUGACGUAUACGGUCAGUCCCCAGGGGUUCCCCCCACCCCCAAUGUUCUAAUAUCUUGUAAAUGGUUGAGAUCCCUACCCCUUAACCAUAUAUAUUCCUGUUCGUCAUGUAAUGAACAUUUGAAUGACGUAUAGGGCCAGUCCCCAGGGGUUCCUCCCCACCUCCAAUGUUCUAGUAUCUUGUAAAUGGUCGAGAUUCCCACCCCUAAACCAUAUAUAUUCUGGUUUGUCAUGCCAAGAUGAUUUGAAUGAUAUACAAGGUUAGUCCCCAGACAUCACUAAUGCAUAUAACUUUACUGGACCAAACCAAUUUUCACUGGACGUUGCCCAAUGUCAGGCGACCCUGGGAAUUACGAAUUAUGGGAGCUUCGUUUGGGAGACUUCGUAACAGCAUCCUGUUACAAUCAUUUCUUGUUUAUAAAUAAAAUUAUCCUUUUUUUUUCUAAAUUUUAAAUAAAUAUGUUGAAAAAAAAACUUGCAAUUCAUCUCAAAAUUAAAUUUCAAAAAACCAACACAUCUUUUUUAAAACUUUGGAAUUAAUUGGCAAAUUCUGAAAUAAACUGCAUGUAAAGGCAUGAGGAUAAUAGAAUUGAGAAAAGAUAUGAUAACUCUUGAUUCAACUAGAUAAAAAUAACAGUGUAAAUGGACUUUUCUAGUAUCAACCUCACAGUCAUGCCUGUUUUAAAUAUAUUGACUUGAAUGGACAAAUUGUUUGAGGAUACAUGUGACCAGUCAGAUUAAUUAGUGGACAAUGAAAUACUCAAAUGAUGGAACUGGCAGGAAUAGACAUAAUUCAGAUUUAACCAGCUUUUAACCUGAGCAAGUGAAUGAUGGACAUUUAUAAUGAUGUGACCAGUAUUCAUGUGGAUGGACAGUGCUAGUAGGAUAUAUACUGAUUAAUCCCCAGAAAGGCACAUCAAAACUGGGUCUGAAGCUUUUACAUGCAAAAGAUGAGUUAUCCUGGACAUUUUGAAGACAUGUAAAUGAUCUAUUGAAGUAAGGACAGUAGGACCUGGAAGUCAUAUCUUACCAACUUUGAGCUUACACAGUAUAAUGUCUAUGAUUGGAAGGGAACAUUCAGAUGAGACUGAGCUUGGAAAUUUACAAAUCAACUGAUGAAGAAGAAGGGAUUCUGUUGAUCUGAGGAACUUGGACACAUUUAUUGACAAACAAUAUAUGUAGUAUUACAGUUAUGUUUCAAUAGAGAGAGGGGAGAGCCAGUUGUAAAGAUUUAUUCUUUCUCAACCAGACAUGUUGACUACAUUAGAAUUUCAUAGGCCUGCAGUUCUCCCUUAAAUGGUCAUAGUUAAUACAUGUAGUGUUUAAAGUAUAAUUUAAUGUAAGACUUUGAUGUGACCAGUGAGAACAAUCAACUGCCAUUGGUUUAAUUCUCUUUUUUUCAAAUAUGUUUCUAUGUGGGUACAGUGUCUAUUUGAAACAAGACCUGUAUUAAUUGAUCACUAAAAAUUAAAUUGAGCAGAUUUGGUUUAAAAAAGAAUAAAUCUGGAUGGAAAAAAGAAAAAAUGUAAUAUAUUAUUCAUUUGAAUUUUGUACAAUUUCAUCUGGCAAUCUUAUUUACAUAUUAGAGUAGUUAUAUGUGAAAAAAGCGACUACAUGCAUGUAUAAAAGUGAGACAUUUAUAUAAUACCAUUAUGGAAUAUGGAAUUUAUUUUUCUACAUUAUAAUAUACCUGUAAAAUUUUUUAAACCUUUCAUUUUUUGUGAUUAAAGGACAAACA